GAAAUGCGAUAAGUAAUGUGAAUUGCAGAAUUCCGUGAAUCAUCGAAUCUUUGAACGCACAUUGCGCCCUCUGGCAUUCCGGGGGGCAUGCCUGUCCGAGCGUCAUUACGCACCCUCAAGCCCGGCUUGUGUGAUGGGCCCCGGCGUCUCGUUCGCGAGACGGGCCCGAAAGGCAGCGGCGGCGUCGACCCGAUGAGCCCGAGCGUAUGGGGACUUCUGUCACACGUUCGCGGUGCGGACAGGCGCCUGCUUGACUUUUCUGAUUAUCCAGGUUGACCUCGGAUCAGGUAGGGAUACCCGCUGAACUUAAGC
Molecule: unclassified non-coding RNA, 312 nt
Filed under: plant metagenome
Description: partial contains 5.8S ribosomal RNA, internal transcribed spacer 2, and large subunit ribosomal RNA
Rfam family: 5.8S ribosomal RNA (bases 1-105)
Source: RNAcentral